UGGGGAAUUUUGGACAAUGGGGGCAACCCUGAUCCAGCAAUGCCGCGUGAGUGAAGAAGGCCUUCGGGUUGUAAAGCUCUUUUGUCAGGGAAGAAACACCGGCUCUAACACAGUCCGGGAAUGACGGUACCUGAAGAAUAAGCACCGGCUAACUACGUGCCAGCAGCCGCGGUAAUACGGAAGGUGCAAGCGUUAGUCGGAAUUACUGGGCGUAAAGGGUGCGUAGGCGGGGAUGAACGUCAGACGUGAAAUUUCGGGGCUUAACCCCGAAGCGGCUUCUGAAACGGCAUCUCUUGAGGAAUGGCGGAGAGAAUGGAAUUCCAUGUGUAGCGGUGAAAUGCGUAGAUAUAUGGAAGAACACCGGUGGCGAAAGCGAUUCUCUAGCCUCCUCCUGACGCUGAGGCACGAGAGCAAGGGGAGCAAACAGG
This 428-nucleotide ribosomal RNA is filed under the name uncultured bacterium. Its description in RNAcentral is "bacterial SSU rRNA". It matches the Rfam family "Bacterial small subunit ribosomal RNA", at positions 355 to 776 of the family's 1533-position model. The record is from RNAcentral.